Molecule: unclassified non-coding RNA, 999 nt
Filed under: Hevea brasiliensis (rubber tree)
Lineage: Eukaryota; Viridiplantae; Streptophyta; Magnoliopsida; Malpighiales; Euphorbiaceae
Source: RNAcentral
CUCUCCCUCUCUCUCUCUCUCUUAUCUCCUCUGUUCCCAAGCCCAUACAGCACCUUGCGUCAACUGUCAAGCACUCUAUAUAAUAAUUGCACGUAGAAGCUCUUCCCAAUUUUCAGUUCUUGUGAACAUUGCUUCUGAACUCUCUUUUCUACUCUUCUUUUAUCAGAUCAAACGCCAAAGAUCAAACUCAGCUUAUUGUGGCAUGGAAAUUGAACUAAAGGUGUCUCAAAACAACGUAGAAGAAGACGGCAACAGAGCAAGAGUGUUUCCUUGUUUAUUCUGUUCAAGAAAGUUUUACAGUUCUCAAGCCUUAGGAGGCCACCAGAAUGCUCACAAGAAGGAAAGAAACGCAGCAAGAAAGGCAAAAAAAGCAUCUGAAUAUGAUCCACCAGCACCACCACCUUCACUGCCAAUGGUUUUUGCUCCAAGUCAUCAUCAUUUAGGCCUAUUACAUCCUUCAAUGUACAUAACUGCCCAUGCAGCCACCCUGCAGUGUUAUCCUACCCACCAGUUGUCUGAUAGUUUUGGAUCCAGUGGUGCACCCAGGUUCGACAAUGGACCGUUUUAUGGUGGGAAUAAUUGUUCAAGCCAUAGCAGCUGGCAUCAUCAAUGUGAAGAAGAAGAUCAAAGUUUCUUGAAUUGGCAAAGAAGCACAAGAUUCAAUAGCUUCAAUGGAGGUGCUGGGUCCAGCCAACACCAAGCAUUAAUGGUGAAUAACGCUCGUCACAACGUGGGUAGCAGUGGUAAUAAAGAUCAAAAUCUUGAUUUGUCUCUUCAUUUAUGAAGAAGAAUGGUGGUAAGAAAAUGCCCAUUUUUGUUUUCAACUUAGGAUUCAGGUUGCUUCUUCUUCUUCUUCUUAUUUUCUCUCUCUUUUUGCAUGCCCUCAUAAUAAAAUCUUAUUAGUUAUUAAAUUUUGACAAAUGGCCAGAAGAAAAUGCCAUUCUUGGCUGGCUAAUUAUCUCUUUAGAUGUAAGGAUGUUGUUCCUUUGUGAGUGAAAA